AUUGAACGCUGGCGGCAGGCCUAACACAUGCAAGUCGAGCGGAUGAAGGGAGCUUGCUCCUGGAUUCAGCGGCGGACGGGUGAGUAAUGCCUAGGAAUCUGCCUGGUAGUGGGGGAUAACGUCCGGAAACGGGCGCUAAUACCGCAUACGUCCUGAGGGAGAAAGUGGGGGAUCUUCGGACCUCACGCUAUCAGAUGAGCCUAGGUCGGAUUAGCUAGUUGGUGGGGUAAAGGCCUACCAAGGCGACGAUCCGUAACUGGUCUGAUAGGAUGAUCAGUCACACUGGAACUGAGACACGGUCCAGACUCCUACGGGAGGCAGCAGUGGGGAAUAUUGGACAAUGGGCGAAAGCCUGAACCAGCCAUGCCGCGUGUGUGAAGAAGGUCUUCGGAUUGUAAAGCACUUUAAGUUGGGAGGAAGGGCAGUAAGUUAAUACCUUGCUGUUUUGACGUUACCAACAGAAUAAGCACCGGCUAACUUCGUG
This 484-nucleotide ribosomal RNA is filed under the name uncultured bacterium. RNAcentral describes it as "partial 16S ribosomal RNA". It matches the Rfam family "Bacterial small subunit ribosomal RNA", at positions 30 to 507 of the family's 1533-position model. The record is from RNAcentral.